Molecule: ribosomal RNA, 342 nt
Filed under: uncultured bacterium
Lineage: Bacteria
Description: bacterial SSU rRNA
Rfam family: Bacterial small subunit ribosomal RNA
Source: RNAcentral
AGAGUUUGAUCCUGGCUCAGGAUGAACGCUAGCGGCAGGCUUAACACAUGCAAGUCGAGGGGUAUAUAGUCUUCGGAUUAUAGAGACCGGCAAACGGGUGCGGAACACGUACACAACCUACCUUUAUCAGGGGAAUAGCCCAGAGAAAUUUGGAUUAAUGCCCCAUAGUAUAAUUGAAUGGCAUCAUUUGAUUAUUAAAGAACUUCGGAUAGAGAUGGGUGUGCGUAAGAUUAGCUAGUUGGUAAGGUAACGGCUUACCAAGGCGACGAUCUUUAGCUGAUGUGAGAGCAUGAUCAGCCACACGGGCACUGAGACACGGGCCCGACUCCUACGGGAGGCAGC